ACCUCUGAGUACAAUCAUCACCAUUGCUGCAAAAAAACCCAGAAAAUCUCAUAAUCCGCAACAUUUUUCUUCCUCUGUGUAAGAAUCUCCAAUUCUUGUCUUGGUUUUUUCUCCACAAUUUGAAAUCGAAACUGUUUGAGGAAAUCGAAGAGAAUAGGAAGGGUACUGUUCCCUUCAGCUCUGCCAGAGUGAAAGUCAAUUGCAAUUCACAAUACAAAAACCCCAAUCCCAAUGGCAAAAAUUGUGCUUUGCUUUUUGUAAUUUUUCCUCUCUCUAAUGGGAUGCCGUGACUUCGAAGCUAAUGAGUUCUAUCAGAGAGAGUGAUGAAGAAUCAAUCCAUAUACAUAACGAAAAAUGAAUAUGUAACUACGUGAGUUGCAGUCCUCACUCUCUCUCUCUUCUCUCACUAUACACA
Molecule: long non-coding RNA, 415 nt
Filed under: Olea europaea subsp. europaea
Lineage: Eukaryota; Viridiplantae; Streptophyta; Magnoliopsida; Lamiales; Oleaceae
Source: RNAcentral